This 173-nucleotide small RNA is filed under the name uncultured Prevotella sp. Its description in RNAcentral is "Bacteroidales-1 6S-Bacteroidales RNA suggested". It matches the Rfam family "Bacteroidales-1 6S-Bacteroidales RNA suggested". The record is from RNAcentral. Lineage: Bacteria; Pseudomonadati; Bacteroidota; Bacteroidia; Bacteroidales; Prevotellaceae.
GUCAGAUCGGGAUACUCAUCAAAUAAUUCAGAAAGACCGAGAAGGCAUCCAUUGUUGAUGGCGGGCCACAUAAACCCUUCGGGACUAAGCUGCAAAGCCGGUGGAUUACAAAGACGUGGAGCUCUCAAAUCCUUAUAGCUCGGAGUUUCAUCACAUCGUCGGCACGACUUUUU